Molecule: ribosomal RNA, 468 nt
Filed under: uncultured bacterium
Lineage: Bacteria
Description: partial 16S ribosomal RNA
Rfam family: Bacterial small subunit ribosomal RNA
Source: RNAcentral
GACGAACGCUGGCGGCGUGCUUAACACAUGCAAGUCGAACGGAAAGGCCCUGCUUUUGUGGGGUGCUCGAGUGGCGAACGGGUGAGUAACACGUGAGUAACCUGCCCUUGACUUUGUGAUAACUUCAGGAAACUGGGGCUAAUACCGGAUAGGAGCUCCUGCUGCAUGGUGGGGGUUGGAAAGUUUCGGCGGUUGGGGAUGGACUCGCGGCUUAUCAGCUUGUUGGUGGGGUAGUGGCCUACCAAGGCUUUGACGGGUAGCCGGCCUGAGAGGGUGACCGGCCACCUUGGGACUGAGAGACGGCCCAGACGCCUACGUGAGGCAGCAGUGGGGAAUAUUGCACAAUGGGCGGAAGCCUGAUGCAGCAACGCCGCGUGCGGGAUGACGGCCUUCGGGUUGGAAACCGCUUUCGCCUGUGACGAAGCGUGAGUGACGGUAAUGGGUAAAGAAGCACCGGCUAACUACGUG